CCGGUCCCAUGCCGAACCCGGCAGUUAAGCUCCCCAUCGCCGAAAGUACUGCGGUGCAGUCCGUGGGAGGAUAGGCCGUUCCGCUCA
Molecule: ribosomal RNA, 87 nt
Filed under: Eggerthella sp. 51_9
Lineage: Bacteria; Bacillati; Actinomycetota; Coriobacteriia; Eggerthellales; Eggerthellaceae
Also listed under: 1 other name
Source: RNAcentral